AAUCACGUACAGGCGGGAAAUGGUUACACUUUUUUGGACUUGGAUCACAGAUUGCACUUUUAAGUUCACCAAGUCCAAAAUAGUGUAACCAUUUCCCGCCUGUAGGGGAAAG
This 112-nucleotide microRNA precursor is filed under the name Phlebotomus papatasi. Its description in RNAcentral is "mir-92 microRNA precursor family". Lineage: Eukaryota; Metazoa; Arthropoda; Insecta; Diptera; Psychodidae. The record is from RNAcentral.